RNAcentral lists this ribosomal RNA (458 nucleotides) under uncultured Gaiellales bacterium. Its description in RNAcentral is "bacterial SSU rRNA". It matches the Rfam family "Bacterial small subunit ribosomal RNA", at positions 341 to 792 of the family's 1533-position model. Lineage: Bacteria; Bacillati; Actinomycetota; Thermoleophilia; Gaiellales. The record is from RNAcentral.
ACGGGAGGCAGCAGUAGGGAAUCUUGCGCAAUGGGCGAAAGCCUGACGCAGCGACGCCGCGUGCGGGAAGAAGGCCUUCGGGUUGUAAACCGCUUUCAGGAGGGACGAAGCCACUCGGGUUAAUAGCCCAGAGGGUGACGGUACCUCCAGAAGAAGCCCCGGCUAACUACGUGCCAGCAGCCGCGGUAAUACGUAGGGGGCAAGCGUUGUCCGGAUUCAUUGGGCGUAAAGAGCGUGUAGGCGGCCAGGUAGGUCAGCUGUGAAAACUGGAGGCUCAACCUUCAGACGUCGGCUGAAACCAUCUGGCUAGAGUCCGGGAGAGGAGAGUGGAAUUCCUGGUGUAGCGGUGAAAUGCGCAGAUAUCAGGAAGAACACCCGUGGCGAAAGCGGCUCUCUGGAACGGUACUGACGCUGAGACGCGAAAGCGUGGGGAGCGAACAGGAUUAGAUACCCUGGUA